This is a long non-coding RNA of Myotis myotis, 945 nucleotides long. RefSeq lists it as uncharacterized. The record is from RefSeq and is a predicted model, not a curated record. NCBI's taxonomy places the organism in Eukaryota, Metazoa, Chordata, Mammalia, Chiroptera, Vespertilionidae. The transcript has 4 exons.
CUCGCGCUCCCACGGCCCGGCCCGGCCCGGCCGGCGCCCCCUUCCGCGUGCGGGAGGACUAGUGGAAACUGAGACGCCGAGAUUGCAGCGGCUCUACAAAGCGGGGUUGAGACUUCUGUUCAGCCCCUCUGAAAUGUUUACCUUAGAAGGCUAGGGCCGACCGCCACUACCCUAUGGUCCCUCCCUCCGCUAAUCCCUUUUGCUAAGUUCAAGGCCUUCCUGCUCUCAGGCUUUCCUUCUGGUUCUCCCAUGGCGCGGCCUCCUCACCUGAGAACAAUGUCACUGGCGGACAGAGCCCGGACGCAUGCACUGUAGUCGCCCCCGCACCAAAUAGUGACUGGGCUACAAGUGCUAAGUCUGUGCAGUAACUCUGUUGCUCUUUCAGACGAGAGAGGAAAGUGACAUCAGCCUGUCAUCCUCUCUUCUUCCUGCCUGACACCUGGACAAGAGGAUGGAGGUGGAGCAGUGAUCUUGCAUCUUGUGGCAACAGGCAUCAAGAUAGGCCUACAUGCUAAGAAUGACGGAGUGAAAAUACAAGCCUAGGUUGACUACACUGGACUUCCUUUUUGUGAAAAUGACUAAACUAUAAUGUUGCUCGCUUCUGCAGCACAUAGACUGAAGUUGGAACAAUAUAGAGAUUAGCAUGGUUCCCGCACAAGGAUGAUACACAGGCAACACAACUAGAACAAGAUAUUUUCAACUGCUAAAGGACCCAAACUGGAUGAAUUGAUAUAAGGCAAUGUGACAGGUAGCUCUUAACAAGUAUAACAGACAUUAUAUAUCCACAUAAGUGUUGUUCCUUUCAAAAUAAUCAACCCCUGAGUUACAAAGUUAUAUAUAUAAAGAAUAUAUAGCCCUAGUCGGUUUGGCUCAGGUUUGAUUCCAGUCAAGGGCAUGUAUCUCAGUUGCAGGCUCCGCCCCGGCCAGGGCCCUGGUUGGGGCGUG